Molecule: ribosomal RNA, 469 nt
Filed under: Marmessoidea annulata
Lineage: Eukaryota; Metazoa; Arthropoda; Insecta; Phasmatodea; Lonchodidae
Description: partial large subunit ribosomal RNA
Rfam family: Bacterial large subunit ribosomal RNA
Source: RNAcentral
AUGGCCGCGGUAUUUUGACCGUGCAAAGGUAGCAUAAUCAUUAGUUUAUUAAUUGUAAACUUGUAUGAAUGGUUGGACGAAAUAUUAACUGUCUAUAUUUUAUUAUUAUAAUUUAAAUUUUUAGUUAAAAUGCUUAAAUUUUUUUAUAGGACGAGAAGACCCUAUAGAUCUUUAUUAUUUUAUUUAUUUAUUUAUUUAGUUUAUUUAUUAUAUAUAAUUAUAAUAUUUUUGUUGGGGUGACAUUGAGAUAAUUAUAACUCUUUAUUUUAUUAUUCAUUUAUUUAUGUUUAUUUGACCUUUUAUUAAUGUUAUAAGAUUAAGAUACCUUAGGGAUAACAGCGUAAUUCAUUUUUAGAGUUCAUAUCGACAAGUGAGAUUGCGACCUCGAUGUUGGAUUAAGAUUAUAAUUAGGUGCAGAAGCUUAAUUGUUGAGUCUGUUCGACUUUUAAAUUCUUACAUGAUCUGAGUU